Molecule: ribosomal RNA, 330 nt
Filed under: uncultured Cellulomonas sp.
Lineage: Bacteria; Bacillati; Actinomycetota; Actinomycetes; Micrococcales; Cellulomonadaceae
Description: bacterial SSU rRNA
Rfam family: Bacterial small subunit ribosomal RNA
Source: RNAcentral
UCAGCUCGUGUCGUGAGAUGUUGGGUUAAGUCCCGCAACGAGCGCAACCCUCGUCCUAUGUUGCCAGCGGGUCAUGCCGGGGACUCAUGGGAGACUGCCGGGGUCAACUCGGAGGAAGGUGGGGGAUGACGUCAAAUCAUCAUGCCCCUUAUGUCUUGGGCUUCACGCAUGCUACAAUGGCCGGUACAAAGGGCUGCGAUACCGCGAGGUGGAGCGAAUCCCAGAAAGCCGGUCUCAGUUCGGAUUGGGUCUGCAACUCGACCCCAUGAAGUCGGAGUCGCUAGUAAUCGCAGAUCAGCAACGCUGCGGUGAAUACGUUCCCGGGUCCUU